UUCAAUUACGAAAGUCACACCAUUUGAUACAGAGAAUUCAACCAUUACCUUUAUUCUAAUCUGUGGACAUAUCACAUUUUAGUUUUGUUUCUGAAUGAAAGCAUUGGAAUAGUUCGAGUUUCGAUUGUCAAAUUUUCCUUGACAACUCUAUAAAUUGUUCUGAAACGUAAAAAUACAAUUUUGAGGACUAGGCGUGCAUGCACAAGGGGUCAACUUGGUUUACUUAAUGGUCAGUUAUUAGAGAAGUCAACUUGUAUGAAAAACAAAAUCCAGUUGGGUCCCAUCUGACGUGAGUGUCGAUGAGAAACGAAGAGGGGAGUUACAACUCAGCGAUACGCAGCCGAUUGUCUUUUCUCCAACUGAGACUUCAGGGAGGAACUCCAAGAUGAGCCAUUCAGCCUUAUAAAAGAGGAAACUCUUGAUAACCAUUACUUGGGUCAACAAAGUCAGAGCAAACCAUUAUCGCCUAGCCAGUUCCAAUAAAAGGGAGAGGGGGGGGGGCUUUGUGGAUUCUUCCUCCUGUGAGUGUGGUGCUUCCGAGGAGGACCUGGAUCACGUGCUCAGGUUCUGUCCCAAGUAUGAUCAUCAUGAAAUCGAGUUCCUAGUAGCAUUGCAACAAGUCCACCACCCACCUUAUAAAGAGAGGAGCCAUUCAUUUGGAAAUCUAGUGACACAGCCAUUGCCGAUUUUAUGGAAGUUUUUCAGUGAUUUCGCUAUUUCAAUUAAUUUCUAAUUUGUCAUUGCCCCGAUUCCAUGAAAGGGAAGGAACAAAAUCAUUAAAUUGGACUCAUAACGAGUUAUAAUCAUAUAAGUCAGAAAAUACUUUAGUGGUACGACACAGGUUGAACGUAACAGCAGUGACAAAAAUAAUUAUUUUGGUUUAGUGAAAACACAAAGUGAAUACACAUUUGUCAAGUCAUAUGGAGGUGAAUCAGAAAAAUUAGUCUUUCAUACAAGUCAGCAUUACAUUAUAAUAAUGGAUUUGAGAUGACAAAAAGGUGCGAUGAUAACCAAUCCUUGAGACUAGCCUCUUUAUCAUUUAAAGAGAACUGUUCAACUGCUCUAAUAUUUUAGUAUCUUCAGGUAAGUCACCUAAAUAUACUAAUAUGAAUUUAAAGUCUUCAUUUAA
Long non-coding RNA from Diachasmimorpha longicaudata, 1129 nucleotides. RefSeq lists it as uncharacterized. Lineage: Eukaryota; Metazoa; Arthropoda; Insecta; Hymenoptera; Braconidae. The record is from RefSeq and is a predicted model, not a curated record. The transcript is spliced from 4 exons.